This 1009-nucleotide ribosomal RNA is filed under the name Urocystis colchici. RNAcentral describes it as "LSU rRNA". It matches the Rfam family "Eukaryotic large subunit ribosomal RNA", at positions 74 to 1400 of the family's 3401-position model. Lineage: Eukaryota; Fungi; Basidiomycota; Ustilaginomycetes; Urocystidales; Urocystidaceae. The record is from RNAcentral.
AUUCCCCUAGUAACGGCGAGUGAAGAGGGAAGAGCCCAAGUUUGAAAGCUGGCGUUUGUAUUCAGGCGUCCGCAUUGUAAACUCGAGAAGUGUUAUCCGCGCCGGACCAGGUUCAAGUCCCUUGGAAUAGGGCAUCAUAGAGGGUGAAAGUCCCGUGCUUGAUCUGGAACCCCGGGGCUUUGUGAUGCGCUCUCAAAGAGUCGAGUUGUUUGGGAAUGCAGCUCAAAAUGGGUGGUAAAUGCCAUCUAAGGCUAAAUAUCGAGGAGAGACCGAUAGCGAACAAGUACCGUGAGGGAAAGAUGAAAAGAACUUUGGAAAGAGAGUUAAACAGUACGUGAAAUUGCCGGAAGGGAAGGGUAGGAAGUCAGACAUGCCUUUGCAGAUUCAGCCUUGUCUUUGGACUUGGUGCAUUUUUGUAAUGGCAGGCCAGCGUCGGUUUGUGUCGCCGGAUAUAGGUUUAGGGAAUGUGGCUUUAUCUUUGGGUAAAGUGUUAUAGCCCUUUACUGAGUACGGCGGUGUGGACCGAGGAACGCAGCGCACCCAUUAGGGCGGGCCUUCGGGCACCUUUGCGCUUAGGAUGCUGGCUUAAUGGCUUUCUGCCACCCGUCUUGAAACACGGACCAAGGAGUCUAACAUGCAUGCGAGUCUUUGGGUGGCAAACCCAUGGGCGAAAUGAAAGUGAAUUUUAAGGUGGGAUCCCUUGCGGGUGCACCAUCGGCCGACUUUGAACCUUUCAUGGGGACGAGUUUGAGCAAGAGCAUUUAUGUUGGGACCCGAAAGAUGGUGAACUAUGCCUGAAUAGGGCGAAGCCAGGGGAAACUCUGGUGGAGGCUCGUAGCGGUUCUGACGUGCAAAUCGAUCGUAAAAUUUGGGUAUAGGGGCGAAAGACUAAUCGAACCAUUAACAACUAGGUGGUUAAGAGGCAGUUCAAAGUACUGUCUAGUGGGGGUGGGGCCUGCAACACUAUCAAAUUGCGGGGACGUCCUUAAGCUUAAACUACCGCAGCUCG